Danio rerio (zebrafish) is the source of this 542-nucleotide non-coding RNA. The record is from RefSeq and is a predicted model, not a curated record. Lineage: Eukaryota; Metazoa; Chordata; Actinopteri; Cypriniformes; Danionidae.
GUUAUCCCUAAAGUUGUAUUAAUUCAAAAUACUUAGAUUCAAUAAACAUAAAUUCCAACUUUUUUGCUCAGUUACUCAAUUUGUUUAGUUUGUUGUACGAUUUGCAUGAUAUUUUUGAUUCUACUGGAUUGUUUAAAUUGAAUGUACUUAACAGAGCUUGUUUUAGUCUGUUGUCAAAGGAGUGAUGUGUAAGGGGAAAUGUGAUUGGCUCUUUGUCUUUGGGCUGACGUCACUGGUGAACACAGCGUGAGCGCGCAUUUUCUAAUGGCUGCUGAUCACUAUUCCAGAAAGGUCAAAGCAAGGCCAACCAGGAUGAGAUGAAAAUGUGUAUCAGGAAUCCAACCAGAUAGUUAGCAAGAAUUAUAUUGGUCUCUUGAUCAUCACUGCCCACAACUGAUUCAGAUCUUCAGGUCACAGAGAGGUCUCACUGGACAGAUUUUUAUCUACUACAAGAUGUCAAGGCCUCUGACCUCACUGACAUGCGAGGUGUUUUCAUUUGAGUGCUUCCAGUAGUUUGAAGCAGUUCUUCAAAGCAUGUUUUG